RNAcentral lists this transfer RNA (70 nucleotides) under Cheirotonus jansoni. RNAcentral's name for it is "tRNA-Asn". The record is from RNAcentral. Lineage: Eukaryota; Metazoa; Arthropoda; Insecta; Coleoptera; Scarabaeidae.
UUAAUUAAAACCAAAGCUAAGCGGUAUACCACUGUUAAUGGUACAAAUGAGUAAAUACACUCUAAUUAAA